AGGGUGAUACUCCCGUCUUUGCCCAGGUUGUCUAUGUGUACGAUACGUUUUCUUUGAGUCGAGUUGUUUGGGAAUACAGCUCAAAGUAGGUGGUAAAUUCCAUCUAAAGCUAAAUAUUGGUGCGAGACCGAUAGCGAACAAGUACCGUGAGGGAAAGAUGAAAAGAACUUUGAAAAGAGAGUUAAAGAGUACCUGAAACUGUUGAAAGGGAACCGUAACAUAUCCAGUGUUGUAUCUCUUAUAUAUUUCACUAGUACAGCAAUGCACUGGUGCCCUGUAUAGGAGUGUGACGUCAAAGUCAGUUUGUAUAUUGCGGGAGAUGGUUUGUAAGGAGGUAUGUCGCUUUUGUGACAGUUAUACCUUAUAAACUAGUUGCCGUGGUUGAGACUGAGGUGCCUACAACAUGCUUACCGAGUCUAUGUUUAUCUCGUUGUUAUAUUUGUUUGGAUAGCUUGCUAUGCUAAUGAACUAUAAUGGCGAUUGGUAGGUGUAGUUACUUGUUGCUGUUCGGGACUUUGACGAAAUGGAAUGUUACGACCCGUCUUGAAACACGGACCAAGGAGUCUAACAUGUAUGCAAGUAUUAGGGUGUGGAAACCCAAAUGCGUAAUGAAAGUAAAUGCUACUUGUGUAGCUUUGGUAGGAAAGGGCUGUCGUGGUCCUGGCACUAUCGACCGAUCAUGAACCCACGGGUGAAAGAUUUGAGUAUGAGCAUAUAUGUUGGUACCCGAAAGAUGGUGAACUAUGCCUGAAUAGAGUGAAGCCAGGGGAAACUCUGGUGGAAGCUCGUAGCGAUUCUGACGUGCAAAUCGAUCGUCAAAUUUGGGUAUAGGGGCGAAAGACUAAUCGAACCAUCUAGUAGCUGGUUCCCUCCGAAAUUUCCCUCAGGAUAGCAGCAACUUUUUACGAUAG
Molecule: ribosomal RNA, 911 nt
Filed under: Brevilegnia milaneziana
Lineage: Eukaryota; Oomycota; Saprolegniomycetes; Saprolegniales; Achlyaceae
Description: Brevilegnia variabilis partial large subunit ribosomal RNA
Rfam family: Eukaryotic large subunit ribosomal RNA
Source: RNAcentral